RNAcentral lists this non-coding RNA (26 nucleotides) under Gallus gallus (chicken). Lineage: Eukaryota; Metazoa; Chordata; Aves; Galliformes; Phasianidae. The record is from RNAcentral. RNAcentral also lists the same sequence under 5 other names.
AGUGUAGUAUCUGUUCUUAUCAGUUU